RNAcentral lists this ribosomal RNA (410 nucleotides) under uncultured microorganism. RNAcentral describes it as "bacterial SSU rRNA". It matches the Rfam family "Bacterial small subunit ribosomal RNA", at positions 9 to 416 of the family's 1533-position model. The record is from RNAcentral.
GAGUUUGAUCGUGGCUCAGAUUGAACGCUGGCGGCAUGCCUUACACAUGCAAGUCGAACGGCAGCAUGAUCUAGCUUGCUAGAUUGAUGGCGAGUGGCGAACGGGUGAGUAAUACAUCGGAACGUGCCCUGUAGUGGGGGAUAACUAGUCGAAAGAUUAGCUAAUACCGCAUACGACCUGAGGGUGAAAGUGGGGGACCGCAAGGCCUCAUGCUAUAGGAGCGGCCGAUGUCUGAUUAGCUAGUUGGUGGGUAAAGGCCCACCAAGGCGACGAUCAGUAGCUGGUCUGAGAGGACGAUCAGCCACACUGGGACUGAGACACGGCCCAGACUCCUACGGGAGGCAGCAGUGGGGAAUUUUGGACAAUGGGCGAAAGCCUGAUCCAGCAAUGCCGCGUGUGUGAAGAAGGCC